Molecule: ribosomal RNA, 621 nt
Filed under: uncultured bacterium
Lineage: Bacteria
Description: bacterial SSU rRNA
Rfam family: Bacterial small subunit ribosomal RNA
Source: RNAcentral
ACCGCGUGAGGGAUGAAGGCUCUGGGCUGUAAACUCUUUUAUCAAAGAAGAAGAUCUGACGGUACUUGAUGAAUAAGCCACGGCUAAUUCCAGUGCCAGCAGCCGCGGUAAUAUGGGAGUGGCAAGCGUUAUCCGGGAUUAUUGGGCGUAAAGCGUCCGCAGGCGGUCUUUUAAGUCUGUCGUCAAAGCGUGGAGCUUAACUCCAUUUCUGCGAUGGAAACUGGAAGACUAGAGUGUGGUAGGGGCAGAGGGAAUUCCCGGUGUAGCGGUGAAAUGCGUAGAUAUCGGGAAGAACACCAGUGGCGAAGGCGCUCUGCUGGGCCAUAACUGACGCUCAUGGACGAAAGCCAGGGGAGCGAAAGGGAUUAGAUACCCCUGUAGUCCUGGCCGUAAACGAUGAACACUAGGUGUCGGGGGAAUCGAACCCCUCGGUGUCGUAGCCAACGCGUUAAGUGUUCCGCCUGGGGAGUACGCACGCAAGUGUGAAACUCAAAGGAAUUGACGGGGGCCCGCACAAGCGGUGGAGUAUGUGGUUUAAUUCGAUGCAACGCGAAGAACCUUACCAAGGUUUGACAUCCUGCGGAUCUCUUGGAAACGAGAGAGUGCCUUCGGGAACGCAGU